This 809-nucleotide ribosomal RNA is filed under the name uncultured bacterium. Its description in RNAcentral is "bacterial SSU rRNA". It matches the Rfam family "Bacterial small subunit ribosomal RNA", at positions 1 to 796 of the family's 1533-position model. The record is from RNAcentral.
AGAGUUUGAUCCUGCAGAACGAACGCUGGCGGCGUACUUAACACAUGCAAGUCGAACGAGAAAAGAGACUUCGGUCUCUGAGUACAGUGGCGCACGGGUGCGUAACACGUUAGUAAUCGACCCCGAACACUGGGAUAACCCUCUGAAAGGAGGGCUAAGACUGGAUAGGGUCCCCGAGGCAGAAGUUGCGGGGGGAAAGCCGGCCUCUGAGGCAUGCUGGCGGUUCGGGACGAGCUUGCGGCCCAUUAGCUAGUUGGUCGGGUAAUGGCCUACCAAGGCGACGAUGGGUAGCUGGUCUGAGAGGAUGAUCAGCCACACUGGCACUGAGACACGGGCCAGACUCCUACGGGAGGCAGCAGUGGGGAAUUUUGCGCAAUGGGCGAAAGCCUGACGCAGUAACGCCGCGUGGAGGAUGAAGGCCUUCGGGUUGUAAACUCCUGUCAGGGGGAACGACGGGGCCAGGGCGAUAAGGCUUGGCCACCAGACGGUACCUCCAAAGGAAGCCCCGGCUAAUUCCGUGCCAGCAGCCGCGGUAAUACGGAAGGGGCAAGCGUUGUUCGGAAUCAUUGGGCGUAAAGGGCGCGUAGGUGGUUCUGUAUGUCUAUCGUGAAAGGGUACAGCUCAACUGUAGCGAGUCGGUAGAAACUGCAGGACUUGAGGCUGGGAGGGGCUGGUGGAAUUCCCUGUGUAGCGGUGAAAUGCGUAGAGAUGGGGGAGAACACUCGUGGCGAAGGCGGCCAGCUAGACCAGUUCUGACACUGAGGCGCGAUAGCGUGGGGAGCAAACAGGAUUAGAUACCCUAGUAGUCC